Molecule: ribosomal RNA, 253 nt
Filed under: uncultured bacterium
Lineage: Bacteria
Description: partial 16S ribosomal RNA
Rfam family: Bacterial small subunit ribosomal RNA
Source: RNAcentral
UACGUAGGGGGCUAGCGUUGUCCGGAUUCAUUGGGCGUAAAGCGCGUGUAGGCGGCUUUACAGGUCCGCUGUGAAAACUUGAGGCUCAACCUCGAGACGUCGGCGGAAACCGUAUGGCUAGAGUCCGGAAGAGGAGAGUGGAAUUCCUGGUGUAGCGGUGAAAUGCGCAGAUAUCAGGAAGAACACCCGUGGCGAAGGCGGCUCUCUGGGACGGUACUGACGCUGAGACGCGAAAGCGUGGGGAGCGAACAGG